RNAcentral lists this ribosomal RNA (466 nucleotides) under uncultured archaeon. Its description in RNAcentral is "bacterial SSU rRNA". It matches the Rfam family "Archaeal small subunit ribosomal RNA", at positions 325 to 791 of the family's 1478-position model. The record is from RNAcentral.
ACGGGCCGCAGCAGGCGCGAAAACUUUACAAUGCUGGGAACAGCGAUAAGGGAACCUCGAGUGCCAGGUUCCAAAUUUGGCUGUCGUGAUGUCUAAAUAGCAUAAUAUAGCAAGGGCCGGGCAAGACCGGUGCCAGCCGCCGCGGUAACACCGGCGGCUCGAGUGGUAACCGUUAUUAUUGGGUCUAAAGGGUCUGUAGCCGGCCGGAUAAGUCUUCCGGGAAAUCUGGCAGCUUAACUGUCAGGCUUUCAGGGGAUACUGUCUGGCUCGAGGCCGGGAGAGGUGAGAGGUACUUCAGGGGUAGGGGUGAAAUCUUGUAAUCCUUGAAGGACCACCAGUGGCGAAGGCGUCUCACCAGAACGGACCCGACGGCAAGGGACGAAAGCUGGGGGCACGAACCGGAUUAGAUACCCGGGUAGUCCCAGCCGUAAACGAUACUCGCUAGGUGUCGGCCACGGUGCGACCG